AUACCAGGUGCCAAACUUCAUUAUCCACCCCACCACCUUGCCCGGGAGGGAGAUCUGUGAAAGCGAAACGUGAUUUAAGCUGGGAUCUGGCAGCAACUUCGUGGACUCUGAAGGGCACGUGGGAAAGGAGUUUUGAUUGAAGGUGAGGGAUUUAGUGAGGUAAAAUUAUAUCCAAAUUAGAGUUUGGUAAAGGCUUCCAGGUUAAUGUCCUGUUAACGCUUAUCCUGAUUUGUGGAGGACACUUAAGCUGUCUAGGCCUAACCUUGUGUUUGAUCACUCACCUUAAUUUGUAGACAUUCUAGGAGCUCUUUGUCAAUGCCUCUUACCAUUUUUAUCAUUAACUAUUUAUGCUUAUAGAAGCAGGAAAAAUAAAUUGUGGGAGCCUUCAUCUGCAAUAGGUUUACAACUUUUUUUCUAAAAUCUUGAGGCAAGGAGACUUAUUCCCCCGCCCCUUUUUUUCUCACAGAUUUCUUGUAUGUCUCCCUCGCCCCGCCCGCACCCCGUCCCCCCGCCCCCGGACAAUUAAUUGUAGGAGGAAACAAGAACUAAGAUGUCUAUUCGAGUGAUUUUUUAUAUCUUUCUUAAGGAGAAAAAGACUGACAUUUGACACUGUGCUCUUGUUUUGUCUUGCUGAUAAUAACUGACAGCAAUGUUUACUUUUCUUACAAAUGAAACUAUCAGGGUACGUACUUUUAAGCUCUUUAAUACAAUGGGUUUCAUCCUUCCAGUGGGAGAGUAUGAAUUGCCCACUCUGCGUAGACACAUGACUGCUGGCCUGUUGGACACAUGGUCACACUUGCUAUACUCUAAAUAGUGUCUUUGUGACCUGAAACAGUCAACACUUUUCUUAAAGCUACAGUGUGCCCACACUCAUUGUAUUUUUGCUUUGUAUGGAAUUUCAAAUUUACUUAUUACCUUCUCUAUGAAUAAUAGCAUAACUUAUGCAUUCCAUUUAUGCCUUUCAGGGAACCUGAUGGUUAAUUUCUACCUCUUAAAGUAACACAUUAUGUUGUAAGAUUUUGCUCUUAAUAUAGCAGUCCCCCUUAUCCUUGGUUUCACUUUCCAAGAUUUUGUCAACCAUGGCCCAAAAAUGUUACAUCACUACUCUUGCAUUUGGGGGGUAUUAUUACAUAAAAUGAUAGUUAUAUGAACACAAGCACUGUCACACUGCAACAGUCUGACAACCCAGACAGCAACUGGCUAAUGGCAAUCUGGGCAGGGACAGAGCAGACUGUGCUCCUCAGAAUGGUGCACAAUUUAAAACUUAUGAAUCGUUUAUUUCUGGAAUUUGCUAUUUAUGUCACAAUACUUAUGUCAUUCACCUCACUUCAUCUCAUCAUGUAGGUAUUUUAUCAUCUCACAUCACAAGAAGGAGAAGGGUGAGUUCAGUACACUAAGAUGCUUUGAGAGGGAGACCAUACAUAACUUUUAUUACAGUACACUCUUAAAAUUGUUUUAUUUUAUUAUUAUUAUUUUUUGAGACAGAGCUUCUUGUCUCCCAACCAGGACUAUAAUGGCACAAUCUCAGUUCACUGCAACCUCCGCCUCCAGGUUUCAAGUGAUUCUUCUGCCUCAGCCUCCCGAGUAGCUGGGAUUACAGGUGCCCGCCACCACGCCUGGCUAAUUUUUGUAUUUUUAGUAGAGGUAGGGUUUUGCUGUGUUGGCCAGGCUGGUCUCGAACUCCUGACCCCAGGUGAUCUGCCCACCUCGGCCUCCCAAAGUGCUGGGAUUACAGGCAUGAGCCAUGGCGCCCAGCCUGUUCUAUUUUAUUAUUAUUGUUGUUAAUAUCUUACUGUGCCUAAUUUAUAAGUGAAACUUUAUCAUAGGUAUGUAUGUAUAGGAAAAAACAUAGUGCAUUUAGAGUUCAAUACUAAGGUUUCAGGCAUCCACUGAGUGUCUUGGAACACAUCCACC
RNAcentral lists this long non-coding RNA (1914 nucleotides) under Homo sapiens (human). RNAcentral describes it as "non-protein coding lnc-SWT1-1:13". The record is from RNAcentral. Lineage: Eukaryota; Metazoa; Chordata; Mammalia; Primates; Hominidae.